UACGUAGGGAGCAAGCGUUGUUCGGAUUUACUGGGCGUAAAGGGCGCGUAGGCGGCGCGGUAAGUCACUUGUGAAAUCUCUGAGCUUAACUCAGAACGGCCAAGUGAUACUGCAGUGCUAGAGUGCAGAAAGGGCAAUCGGAAUUCUUGGUGUAGCGGUGAAAUGCGUAGAUAUCAGGAGGAACACCUGAGGCGAAGGCGGGUUGCUAGGCUGACACUGACGCUGAGUGCGCGAAAGCCAGGGGAGCAAACGGG
Molecule: ribosomal RNA, 254 nt
Filed under: uncultured bacterium
Lineage: Bacteria
Description: partial 16S ribosomal RNA
Rfam family: Bacterial small subunit ribosomal RNA
Source: RNAcentral